This 308-nucleotide ribosomal RNA is filed under the name uncultured Lactobacillus sp. RNAcentral's name for it is "bacterial SSU rRNA". It matches the Rfam family "Bacterial small subunit ribosomal RNA", at positions 225 to 524 of the family's 1533-position model. The record is from RNAcentral. Lineage: Bacteria; Bacillati; Bacillota; Bacilli; Lactobacillales; Lactobacillaceae.
AUGGACCUGCGAUGCAUUAGCUAGUUGGUAAGGUAACGGCUUACCAAGGCGAUGAUGCAUAGCCGAGUUGAGAGACUGAUCGGCCACAUUGGGACUGAGACACGGCCCAAACUCCGUACGGGAGGCAGCAGUAGGGAAUCUUCCACAAUGGACGAAGUCUGAUGGAGCAACGCCGCGUGAGUGAAGAAGGUUUUCGGAUCGUAAAGCUCUGUUGUUGGUGAAGAAGGAUAGAGGUAGUAACUGGCCUUUAUUUGACGGUAAUCAACCAGAAAGUCACGGCUAACUACGUGCCAGCAGCCGCGGGUAAU